This 197-nucleotide ribosomal RNA is filed under the name uncultured bacterium. RNAcentral's name for it is "partial 16S ribosomal RNA". It matches the Rfam family "Bacterial small subunit ribosomal RNA", at positions 328 to 539 of the family's 1533-position model. The record is from RNAcentral.
ACGCUCGACACCUACGGGGGCAGCAGUGGGGAAUAUUGCACAAUGGGGGAAACCCUGAUGCAGCGACGCCGCGUGAAGGAUGAAGUAUUUCGGUAUGUAAACUUCUAUCAGCAGGGAAGAAAAUGACGGUACCUGACUAAGAAGCCCCGGCUAACUACGUGCCAGCAGCCGCGGUAAUCUGAGCGGGCUGGCAAGGC